UGAAGGGCGUACGGUGGAUGCCUUGGCACUAGGAGCCGAUGAAGGACGCGACGAACAGCGAUAUGCUUCGGGGAGCAGUAAGUAUGCUUUGAUCCGAAGAUUUCCGAAUGGGGGAACCCACCAUCUGUAAUGGGAUGGGACAUGUUACAUGAAUACAUAGUGUANNNNNNNNNNNNNNNNNNNNNNNNNNNNNNNNNNNNNNNNNNUCCCUGAGUAGCGGCGAGCGAAACGGGAACAGCCCAAACCGGAGAGCAUGCUCUUCGGGGUUGUAGGACACUCUANAGGACCUGGAAAGGUCGGCCGAAGAAGGUGACAGCCCUGUAGCUGAAACUGUUUUCCCUCCAGAGUGGAUCCUGAGUACGGCGGGACACGUGAAACCCCGUCGGAAUCCGGGAGGACCAUCUCCCAAGGCUAAAUACUCCCUAGUGACCGAUAGUGAACCAGUACCGUGAGGGAAAGGUGAAAAGCACCCCGGAAGGGGAGUGAAAUAGAUCCUGAAACCGUAUGCCUACAAGUAGUCAGAGCCCGUUAACGGGUGAUGGCGUGCCUUUUGUAGAAUGAACCGGCGAGUUACGAUAACGCGCGAGGUUAAGCCGAUGAGGCGGAGCCGUAGCGAAAGCGAGUCUGAACAGGGCGUUCAGUGCGUUGUCGUAGACCCGAAACCAGGUGAUCUACCCAUGUCCAGGAUGAAGGUCAGGUAACACUGACUGGAGGUCCGAACCCACGCACGUUGAAAAGUGCGGGGAUGAGGUGUGGGUAGCGGUGAAAUGCCAAUCGAACCUGGAGAUAGCUGGUUCUCCCCGAAAUAGCUUUAGGGCUAGCCUCGAGGUUGAGAGUUCUGGAGGUAGAGCACUGAUUGGACUAGGGGCCCCCACAGGGUUACCGAAUUCAGUUAAACUCCGAAUGCCAGCAACUUAUACUCGGGAGUCAGACUGCGAGUGAUAAGAUCCGUAGUCAAGAGGGAAACAGCCCAGACCGCCAGCUAAGGUCCCAAAGUGUAUGUUAAGUGGAAAAGGAUGUGGCGCUGCCUAGACAGCUAGGAUGUUGGCUUAGAAGCAGCCACCAUUCAAAGAGUGCGUAAUAGCUCACUAGUCGAGUGGCGCCGCGCCGAAAAUGUAACGGGGCUAAACAUACCACCGAAGCUGCGGAUUCCGUAAGGAAUGGUAGGGGAGCGUUCCAAACCGCUGUGAAGCUGUACCGGAAGGAGCAGUGGAGCGUUUGGAAGUGAGAAUGCCGGUGUGAGUAGCGAAAAGAGGGGUGAGAAUCCCCUCCGUCGAAAGCCCAAGGUUUCCUGAGGAAGGCUCGUCCGCUCAGGGUUAGUCUGGACCUAAGCCGAGGCCGAAAGGCGUAGGCGAUGGAUAACAGGUUGAUAUUCCUGUACCGCCGAUCCACCGUUUGAACAAUGGGGGGACGCAGGAGGAUAGUGACGCAUGCGGAUGGAAGUGCAUGUGCAAGUUUCAAGACCGUCUGAUUGGCAAAUCCGUCAGGCAUAAANNNNNNNNNNNNNNNNNNNNNNNNNNNNNNNNNNNNNGGUCAAGGAACGAUGCGGAGUCCCGUAGGGACGUAGGUCACGAUUUCACACUGCCAAGAAAAGCCUCUAGUGAGGGGNNNNNNNNNNNNNNNNNNNNNNNNNNNNNNNNNNNGAAGGCGCCAGUACCGUAAACCGACACAGGUAGGCGAGAUGAGAAUUCUAAGACGCGCGGGAUAACUCUCGUUAAGGAACUCGGCAAAAUGGUCCCGUAACUUCGGGAGAAGGGACGCUCUACAUGAGUAGAGCCGCAGUGAAUAGGCCCAAACGACUGUUUAGCAAAAACACAGGUCUCUGCUAAAUCGCAAGAUGACGUAUAGGGGCUGACGCCUGCCCGGUGCUGGAAGGUUAAGGGGAUGGGUUAGCGCAAGCGAAGCUUUGAACCGAAGCCCCAGUAAACGGCGGCCGUAACUAUAACGGUCCUAAGGUAGCGAAAUUCCUUGUCGGGUAAGUUCCGACCCGCACGAAAGGCGUAACGAUUUGGGCACUGUCUCAACGAGAGACCCGGUGAAAUCAUAGUACCUGUGAAGAUGCAGGUUACCCGCGACAGGACGGAAAGACCCCAUGGAGCUUUACUACAGCCUGAUAUUGAGGCUUUGUGCAUGAUGUACAGGAUAGGCGGGAGACGUCGAGCCCGGAGCGCCAGCUUCGGAGGAGUCACCCUUGGGAUACCGCCCUUCAUGCAUAGAGUCUCUAACUCGCAGCCGUGAUCCGGCUGGAGGACCGUGUCAGGCGGGUAGUUUGACUGGGGCGGUCGCCUCCUAAACAGUAACGGAGGCGCCCAAAGGUUCCCUCAGAAUGGUUGGAAAUCAUUCGUAGAGCGCAAAGGCAGAAGGGAGCUUGACUGCGAGACCUACAAGUCGAGCAGGGACGAAAGUCGGGCUUAGUGAUCCGGUGGUUCCGCAUGGAAGGGCCAUCGCUCAACGGAUAAAAGCUACCCUGGGGAUAACAGGCUGAUCUCCCCCAAGAGUCCACAUCGACGGGGAGGUUUGGCACCUCGAUGUCGGCUCAUCGCAUCCUGGGGCUGGAGUAGGUCCCAAGGGUUGGGCUGUUCGCCCAUUAAAGCGGUACGCGAGCUGGGUUCAGAACGUCGUGAGACAGUUCGGUCCCUAUCCGUCGUGGGCGCAGGAAAUUUGAGGAGAGCUGUCCUUAGUACGAGAGGACCGGGAUGGACGCACCGCUGGUGUACCAGUUGUUCCGCCAGGAGCAUCGCUGGGUAGCUACGUGCGGACGGGAUAAAUGCUGAAAGCAUCUAAGCAUGAAGCCCCCUCCAAGAUGAGAUUUCCCUUUGAGUAAUCAAGAAAG
RNAcentral lists this ribosomal RNA (2833 nucleotides) under Exiguobacterium sp. Leaf187. Its description in RNAcentral is "partial 23S ribosomal RNA". It matches the Rfam family "Bacterial large subunit ribosomal RNA". Lineage: Bacteria; Bacillati; Bacillota; Bacilli; Caryophanales. The record is from RNAcentral.